This 281-nucleotide ribosomal RNA is filed under the name uncultured Sphingobacteriales bacterium. RNAcentral's name for it is "partial 16S ribosomal RNA". It matches the Rfam family "Bacterial small subunit ribosomal RNA", at positions 1105 to 1382 of the family's 1533-position model. Lineage: Bacteria; Pseudomonadati; Bacteroidota; Sphingobacteriia; Sphingobacteriales. The record is from RNAcentral.
UUAUCGUUAGUUGCCAGCGGGGUAAGUGCCGGGAACUCUAGCGAAACUGCCGGUGUAAACCGUGAGGAAGGUGGGGAGUGACGUCAAAUCAGCACGGCCCUUAUGUCCAGGGCUACACACGUGUUACAAUGGCCGGUACAGAGGGCAGCUACCUGGAGACAGGAUGCGAAUCUCCAAAGCCGGUCUCAGUUCGGAUCGGAGUCUGCAACUCGACUCCGUGAAGCUGGAUUCGCUAGUAAUCGCGCAUCAGCCAUGGCGCGGUGAAUACGUUCCCGGGCCUU